RNAcentral lists this ribosomal RNA (301 nucleotides) under uncultured bacterium. RNAcentral's name for it is "partial 16S ribosomal RNA". It matches the Rfam family "Bacterial small subunit ribosomal RNA", at positions 509 to 809 of the family's 1533-position model. The record is from RNAcentral.
CAGUCGCCGCGGGAAAACAGAGGGUGCAAGCGUUAAUCGGAAUUACUGGGCGUAAAGCGCGCGUAGGUGGUUUGUUAAGUUGGAUGUGAAAGCCCCGGGCUCAACCUGGGAACUGCAUCCAAAACUGGCAAGCUAGAGUACGGUAGAGGGUGGUGGAAUUUCCUGUGUAGCGGUGAAAUGCGUAGAUAUAGGAAGGAACACCAGUGGCGAAGGCGACCACCUGGACUGAUACUGACACUGAGGUGCGAAAGCGUGGGGAGCAAACAGGAUUAGAUACCCCAGUAGUCCCUGUCUCUUAUAA